UACGGAGGGUGCGAGCGUUAAUCGGAAUUACUGGGCGUAAAGCGCGCGUAGGCGGUUUGUUAAGUCAGCUGUGAAAGCCCCGGGCUUAACCUGGGAAUUGCAGUUGAUACUGGCAGACUAGAGUGUGGUAGAGGGUAGUGGAAUUUCCGGUGUAGCAGUGAAAUGCGUAGAGAUCGGAAGGAACAUCAGUGGCGAAGGCGGCUAUCUGGACCAACACUGACGCUGAGGUGCGAAAGCGUGGGGAGCAAACAGGAUUAGAAACCCCAGUAGUCC
RNAcentral lists this ribosomal RNA (273 nucleotides) under uncultured bacterium. RNAcentral describes it as "partial 16S ribosomal RNA". It matches the Rfam family "Bacterial small subunit ribosomal RNA", at positions 524 to 796 of the family's 1533-position model. The record is from RNAcentral.